CUAGCGUUGUUCGGAAUUACUGGGCGUAAAGGGCGCGUAGGCGGCGUGUCAAGUCAGGCGUGAAAGCCCCGGGCUCAACCUGGGAACCGCGCUUGAGACUGGCAUGCUCGAGUUCGGGAGAGGAUGGUGGAAUUCCCAGUGUAGAGGUGAAAUUCGUAGAUAUUGGGAAGAACACCGAUGGCGAAGGCAGCCAUCUGGACCGUCACUGACGCUGAGGCGCGAAAGCGUGGGGAGCAAACAGG
This 242-nucleotide ribosomal RNA is filed under the name uncultured bacterium. RNAcentral describes it as "partial 16S ribosomal RNA". It matches the Rfam family "Bacterial small subunit ribosomal RNA", at positions 535 to 776 of the family's 1533-position model. The record is from RNAcentral.